Long non-coding RNA from Dermacentor silvarum, 556 nucleotides. RefSeq lists it as uncharacterized. Lineage: Eukaryota; Metazoa; Arthropoda; Arachnida; Ixodida; Ixodidae. The record is from RefSeq and is a predicted model, not a curated record. The transcript has 5 exons.
GGUUUGUCAUCCUGCCAAUAUAAGCCUUUCCACCUCCACAUUCAGAUGGCACUGCAUUGAAUAGCUUCAACGCCGCUCCUCUACCACAGAGCAACGUAAGGCACGGACGCCGAAAGUGCCGUCUCGUUCAGCUAGACCAAAGUGUUCCACGAAAAGGAGUUGUGCCUACGGUAUUGGCCCCUUCACUUUUGUGACCCGCUUGGCCAAUGGAGAAUUUAAUUCGAUCGCACCAACAAAUGCUGGAGCUCCUUCCGGAAAAUUGUACCGGAAACUGCGAGGAACGGACAUGCAACAGCGGAGCCGAAGACAUCUACGAAAGUCAAAAGGCUACCAUGCAAGCACCAAUGCAAGCACCGAUACAGGAUGGCAUUGUGCACUCUCCCUACAAGCAAUCCGAGACAGUGCUGUUGUCAUUUGCUGAAUACCUCACAGAAAAACUUCAACCUCACGGAAACAGAAUUGCACUGGAGAGGUUCAAGAGAACAUGAAAAACUGUGACGCUACACAUGUGGUGUCUGAUCUUCGCCAUUCCGUCAAGUUCAGUCCUAGAGGCCAA